Non-coding RNA from Paramisgurnus dabryanus, 935 nucleotides. The record is from RefSeq and is a predicted model, not a curated record. NCBI's taxonomy places the organism in Eukaryota, Metazoa, Chordata, Actinopteri, Cypriniformes, Cobitidae.
UUCAGUCGCUAACAAGCAUUUGUCCAAUCAGUUGUCACAUUUUCAAAACUCUAAACACAAUUAGCACAGCAUCGGUCUUUUGUGGCCAUACCAUUAAUUCAUUUCAUGUCGUUUUCACACAAUAUGCAGUCAGUGAACACAUUUCCACAAUACUUACAUUUUCUUAACAGACAAGCUAUACCUCCCACCAAAAUUAUGGAUUGUUUUUGUAGUAUUUACAAAUGCUUACACACAACAUCUCACAAUGACAAAAACAAUAUUCCAAACCAUAGAUACAGUAUAAAAAGCUUUAUAUUGGGUAAAUUGGGCCAACCACAGCUGAUUCCAGUCUGGCUUAGGUUAUUUUUUCUUUUACAUUGAUACUUAUACAGUAAAAGGAGGACUUUGAGGAGUGAUGUUUUUGAAAACAGAAACAGACAAACACUGUUAUGUCUGGACGAGGAAGCAAGGGGCACAUGGAGAAGAGCAGGCCCAGUGAGAGGUGCAGUGAGAGAUGCAGGUGCAGAGAGAGGUGCAGUGAGAGGAGCAGUUAGAGGUGCAGGAGCAGUGAGAGGUGCAGGGUCAGUAAGAGGAGCAGACCCAAGGAGAGCGCAAUGUAGAGGUGUAAGAAUGCAUGGUGGUGGCAUUCCAAGGGCUGCAAGAACAGUAGUCAGUGAUGAAAUUCAUUGAUUUCAGUAAGAGAGGCUGGUGAAAGAGUGCAGCCCAAUUUUAGGAGGUUGCCUCCAUUAUACGCAUCUUUCAACAAACCAACAGAAUGCAACGUCUUCCACCCUCUGGGAGAAGAGGAAAGCUCCUCAAAAAUGAUCAAGAUCAAUACUGUAAAACUUUUUCUGUUCUAUCAUAUUGUGUUUCUACUUUACCUCCUGUAGUCAAGAGUAAGGGGAAAAACUGAUUUUUACUGAAAUGCUUUUGAAUAUGAACAUUGCUGUACAUGU